UACAGAGGGUGCGAGCGUUAAUCGGAUUUACUGGGCGUGAAGCGUGCGUAGGCGGCUUUUUAAGUCGGAUGUGAAAUCCCUGAGCUUAACUUAGGAAUUGCAUUCGAUACUGGGAAGCUAGAGUAUGGGAGAGGAUGGUAGAAUUCCAGGUGUAGCGGUGAAAUGCGUAGAGAUCUGGAGGAAUACCGAUGGCGAAGGCAGCCAUCUGGCCUAAUACUGACGCUGAGGUACGAAAGCAUGGGGGAGCAAACAGGAUUAGAUACCCUGGUAGCCCAUGCCGUAAACGAUGUCUACUAGCCGUUGGGGCCUUUGAGGCUUUAGUGGCGCAGCUAACGCGAUAAGUAGACCGCCUGGGGAGUACGGUCGCAAGACUAAAACUCA
This 381-nucleotide ribosomal RNA is filed under the name uncultured bacterium. RNAcentral describes it as "bacterial SSU rRNA". It matches the Rfam family "Bacterial small subunit ribosomal RNA", at positions 524 to 903 of the family's 1533-position model. The record is from RNAcentral.